RNAcentral lists this ribosomal RNA (485 nucleotides) under uncultured bacterium. RNAcentral describes it as "bacterial SSU rRNA". It matches the Rfam family "Bacterial small subunit ribosomal RNA", at positions 501 to 985 of the family's 1533-position model. The record is from RNAcentral.
CUACGUGCCAGCAGCCGCGGUAAUACGUAGGUCCCGAGCGUUGUCCGGAUUUAUUGGGCGUAAAGCGAGCGCAGGCGGUUAGAUAAGUCUGAAGUUAAAGGCUGUGGCUUAACCAUAGUACGCUUUGGAAACUGUUUAACUUGAGUGCAAGAGGGGAGAGUGGAAUUCCAUGUGUAGCGGUGAAAUGCGUAGAUAUAUGGAGGAACACCGGUGGCGAAAGCGGCUCUCUGGCUUGUAACUGACGCUGAGGCUCGAAAGCGUGGGGAGCAAACAGGAUUAGAUACCCUGGUAGUCCACGCCGUAAACGAUGAGUGCUAGGUGUUAGACCCUUUCCGGGGUUUAGUGCCGUAGCUAACGCAUUAAGCACUCCGCCUGGGGAGUACGACCGCAAGGUUGAAACUCAAAGGAAUUGACGGGGGCCCGCACAAGCGGUGGAGCAUGUGGUUUAAUUCGAUGCAACGCGAAGAACCUUACCURCUCUUGAC